RNAcentral lists this ribosomal RNA (264 nucleotides) under uncultured archaeon. Its description in RNAcentral is "partial 16S ribosomal RNA". It matches the Rfam family "Archaeal small subunit ribosomal RNA", at positions 717 to 982 of the family's 1478-position model. The record is from RNAcentral.
AGACGUCUACAUUAGAUACCCGGGUAGUCCCAGCCGUAAACUAUGCGCGUUAGGUGUAUCGGUGACCACGAGUCACCGAGGUGCCGAAGGGAAACCGUGAAACGUGCCGCCUGGGAAGUACGGUCGCAAGGCUGAAACUUAAAGGAAUUGGCGGGGAGCACCACAACGGGUGGAGCCUGCGGUUUAAUUGGACUCAAUGCCGGGAAGCUCACCGGAUAGGACAGCAGAAUGAUUGCCGGGCUGAAGACCCUGCAUGACUAGCUG